This 748-nucleotide ribosomal RNA is filed under the name uncultured bacterium. RNAcentral describes it as "bacterial SSU rRNA". It matches the Rfam family "Bacterial small subunit ribosomal RNA", at positions 750 to 1501 of the family's 1533-position model. The record is from RNAcentral.
UGUACGAAAGCGUGGGUAGCAAACAGGAUUAGAUACCCUGGUAGUCCACGCCCUAAACGAUGUCAACUGGUUGUUGGGGGAGUGAAAUCCCUUAGUAACGAAGCUAACGCGUGAAGUUGACCGCCUGGGGAGUACGGUCGCAAGAUUAAAACUCAAAGGAAUUGACGGGGACCCGCACAAGCGGUGGAUGAUGUGGAUUAAUUCGAUGCAACGCGAAAAACCUUACCUACCCUUGACAUGUCCGGAAUCCUGCAGAGAUGCGGGAGUGCCCGAAAGGGAAUCGGAACACAGGUGCUGCAUGGCUGUCGUCAGCUCGUGUCGUGAGAUGUUGGGUUAAGUCCCGCAACGAGCGCAACCCUUAUCAUUAGUUGCUACGCAAGGGCACUCUAAUGAGACUGCCGGUGACAAACCGGAGGAAGGUGGGGAUGACGUCAAGUCCUCAUGGCCCUUAUGGGUAGGGCUUCACACGUCAUACAAUGGUCGGUACAGAGGGUUGCCAAGCCGCGAGGUGGAGCCAAUCCCAGAAAGCCGAUCGUAGUCCGGAUUGUUCUCUGCAACUCGAGAGCAUGAAGUCGGAAUCGCUAGUAAUCGCGGAUCAGCAUGUCGCGGUGAAUACGUUCCCGGGUCUUGUACACACCGCCCGUCACACCAUGGGAGUGGAAUCUGGCAGAAGUAGGUAGCCUAACCGCAAGGAGGGCGCUUACCACGCUGGGUUUCAUGACUGGGGUGAAGUCGUAACAAGGUAACC